RNAcentral lists this long non-coding RNA (587 nucleotides) under Struthio camelus australis. RNAcentral's name for it is "lncRNA (ENSSCUG00000010741.1)". The record is from RNAcentral. Lineage: Eukaryota; Metazoa; Chordata; Aves; Struthioniformes; Struthionidae.
GAAUCAGUUGCUAAGUUAGUGACAGGUCUUUAAAUUAACUCAAGUUGUGGAGCGACAAAACAAGCAAUGUGGGGAAAAAAAAUGCAAGCAAUUUGGCUUAAAUAACCCUCACCGACAGAGUUAUUAGAAACCAUCUGAGAUGAUAUUUCAGCAGUAUUAGUUUUUCGCCUUCCAAAGGACUUAUUCCAGCAUUUCUUUGCAACUAACUGGGACCUAAAGCUCUGGUAAAGUGUGGGAAGCACUGAGUACUUCCAGGCAGGAGUACUGAGCUCCCAGCCACUUUCCUGGAGUCCACACAAAGUCCUUAUUUUCAGGUGCUGGUUUUGAUGUGACUUUGCCUCUAACACCCUGAGGACUUUCUGACUACAGAAGACCGCAACAAGACAAAGCGAAUGAAAAAGGAAGAGGACGAGAAGGGGAACAAAAUAAAAGCACCGUCUGGGGACCUGGCAUCCAGCUUACGGAUGGGGAUUCACCCUGGCAGCAGCCAAGUCCCUGAGGAGAAGGAGGGAUGAAGCAAAGUCUGGUGAGUUACACAGAUCGCUUCCCCGGCAGUGUUCCUGCUCUUCUCAGCACAGACUGUUUGC